This 409-nucleotide ribosomal RNA is filed under the name uncultured bacterium. RNAcentral's name for it is "bacterial SSU rRNA". It matches the Rfam family "Bacterial small subunit ribosomal RNA", at positions 355 to 776 of the family's 1533-position model. The record is from RNAcentral.
UGGGGAAUAUUGCGCAAUGGACGAAAGUCUGACGCAGCAACGCCGCGUGAGGGAUGAAGUACGUCGAGAUGUAAACCUCUUUCAGCAGGGACGAAGCGAAAGUGACGGUACCUGCAGAAGAAGGACCGGCUAACUACGUGCCAGCAGCCGCGGUAAUACGUAGGGUCCGAGCGUUGUCCGGAUUUAUUGGGCGUAAAGGGCUCGUAGGCGGUUUGUCGCGUCGGAUGUGAAAACUCGGAGCUUAACUCCGGGCCUGCAUUCGAUACGGGCAGACUAGAGUUCGGUAGGGGAGACUGGAACUCCUGGUGUAGCGGUGGAAUGCGCAGAUAUCAGGAAGAACACCGAUGGCGAAGGCAGGUCUCUGGGCCGACACUGACGCUGAGGAGCGAAAGCGUGGGGAGCAAACAGG